RNAcentral lists this ribosomal RNA (1318 nucleotides) under metagenome. RNAcentral describes it as "eukaryotic LSU rRNA". It matches the Rfam family "Eukaryotic large subunit ribosomal RNA", at positions 1910 to 3294 of the family's 3401-position model. The record is from RNAcentral.
AAAUUCGGCAAAUUAGAUCCGUAACCUCGGGAAAAGGAUUGGCUAUGAGGGUUGAGUGUGGUGCCAAUGAAAUGGAACUAGGAUCUGUACUGGUGUUGGUCGCAAGAUCGAAACCGGCAUGGAGAGAAGGAAAAUUUUUGCGGCCAGCACAAUUAACAACCGACUCAGAACUGAAGCGGACAAGGGGAAUCCGACUGUUUAAUAAAAACAUAGCUUUGUGGUGGCCUCAAAAGGUGUUGACACAAAGUGAUUUCUGCCCAGUGCUUUGAAUGUGAAUAUGAAGUAAUUCAUAGAAGCUCAGGUAAACGGCGGGAGUAACUAUGACUCUCUUAAGGUAGCCAAAUGCCUCGUCAUCUAAUUAGUGACGCGCAUGAAUGGAUUAAUGAGAUUCCCACUGUCCCUAUCUACCAUCUAGCGAACCCAUAGCCAAGGGAACGAGCUUGAAUAAUCAGCGGGGAAAGAAGACCCUGUUGAGCUUGACUCUAGUCCGACUUUGUGAAAUGACUUUCGAGAUAUAGCCUAAGUGGGAGCUAACGCGCCGCUGUAAAACCACUGCUCGCUUAGCCAUUUUACUUACUCCAUGAAGAAGUGGCCGAUUUUUCGGUUCUUAGAUUUAAGCCCUGACUCGUAUCAGGGCAAGCUUUGUGGAGGACACAGUCAGGUGGGGAGUUUGACUGGGGCGGUACAUCUGUUAAAACGUAACGCAGGUGUCCUACGGUGAGCUCAAAGAGAACAGAAAUCUCUUGUAGACCAAAAGGGGAAAAGCUCGCUUGAUUUUGAUUUUCAGUACUAAUACAAACCGCGAAAGCGUGGCCUAUCGAUCCUUUAACUUUACAAGUUUUAAGCUAGAGGUGUCAGAAAAGUUACCACAGGGAUAACUGGCUUGUGGCAGCCAAGCGCCCAUAGCGACGUUGCUUUUUGAUCCUUCGAUGUCGGCUCUUCCUAUCAUUGUGAUGUACAAGUCACAACGUGUUGGAUUGUUCACCCGUUAAUAGGGAACGUGAGCUGGGUUUAGACCGUCGUGAGACAGGUUAGUUUUACCCUACUGAUGAAUCGAUGUUGCGACAGUAAUCUUACUUAGUACGAGAGGAACCGUUAGAUCAGAUAAUUGGUUAAUACGGUUAGCUGAAAAGCUAAUGCCGUGAAGCUACCAUCUGUUGGAUUAUGACUGAAAGCCUCUAAGUCAGAAACCAUGCUGGAAAGCAACGUCCAAUCAAUAAUAAAUGAAAAAGAAUAAGGGAAACCUUUAGUUCAGUAUGGGGACGGUCAAACUCGAAAGAGUAUAGCCAAACCCAGAAUAAAUUUUAAUUAUUAUUGU